AUUUAAUAAGUGUUACCUUGGAAGAUGUUUUUCCCUGCUCUUCAUGGACCCUGUGAAGUGAGAACCCAGAGGGUCUUUGCCAGCAUUCCCAUGAGUAUGGUGUACAACCUGAGUGCAUAUUGAUAGUUCCUGUUCCUUUUGGCUAACCAGUAUGAAAAGUCCAGUUGCUGAAACAGUCUGAUUUGUUGAAUGAAGCCUGCUUCUGCCUUAUGAGCAGUGCUGGGGCAACAGCUAUUGCAGAGCAGGAGGCAUGCUGCUGGGUCUACUGUGAGCAGGCUCCAGCUGUUCGUCUUAUAAGGUAACAUGAAUCAGAAUGCAGCAAGGGAUGUUAAGGUGGUAAUAUCAAAUCUGACAGGAAAACGUGAAAAUAAAACAAACAGGAAAAAGAAUUCAAACUGGCAACUCCAAACCACAGCCCGAAUCAGGGAAAACAAAGGGCCGUAUUGGUUGUGGAUGUAGAACAUGUUGAGAACUUUGGAUUGAAGACAUGCAAGUAUAAUUUAUUAUUUCCUACGCUGUCUUCAUUAUUUCUACAAUGGCAACCUGAUAAAUCACUGAAUGUGAUUGCUUGAAGCAGUCAAAGGUUAAGAGACACCUGGUUACAAGUGCUGGUAGAAAACAAGGAAUUUCCCAGCGUGCAUAAGUGCUCUCAAAGAAAUCUAGGCAAGUACCCUCCUUUGCAAUAGACCAUUUCUCUUCUCUCCUUGGUAGUACUAG
This 717-nucleotide long non-coding RNA is filed under the name Numida meleagris (helmeted guineafowl). Its description in RNAcentral is "lncRNA (ENSNMEG00000013993.1)". The record is from RNAcentral. Lineage: Eukaryota; Metazoa; Chordata; Aves; Galliformes; Numididae.